This is a long non-coding RNA of Nerophis ophidion (straightnose pipefish), 1444 nucleotides long. RefSeq lists it as uncharacterized. The transcript is spliced from 2 exons. NCBI's taxonomy places the organism in Eukaryota, Metazoa, Chordata, Actinopteri, Syngnathiformes, Syngnathidae. The record is from RefSeq and is a predicted model, not a curated record.
GGGGCGUGGCCUACGCGUUCCCUGCGGGCGGGGCGUGUGCAGGGGCCGGCCAGGAAGCAGCAUACAGGUGAGCAGAUACCUCAGCUGGAGCGAGUGAUCCAAUCACCUGUUCCCUUUAUCAGCAGCCUUGGAAAUCUUGAGGGGAAAGAUGAUGAGAGUGACGGAGAGAGAAAGACACACACGACGAGACACAGUGAACAAACUGGAGAGCACUGGACUGAUGCAGUUGCAUGUACUGCCAUCAAUAAAAGUGUAAAUCACUGAGACCGAGUGUGGUGAUUCCAGCCAAACAACGGGGGAUCUGGGACAGAGACCUUCCACAGUGGCGCUCAACUAAGGAAGAAUCCAGGAAAGAUGUCGGCACCAAACCCCUUGGAAGCGCUUGGACAAGUGCUGGCGCAAGUAUCAGCAGCAAGUCAGCAACGAUCGCGACAUGAAACGCAUGGUAGAGGGGGAGGAUCCUCAAACAUUCCUGGACGUGUUCGAGGCGUCAAACAGGUGGCCGGAAGAAGAGUGGGGAGUAAAACUGCUGCCGCUCCUGGUGGGGGAGGCGCAGCGGGCGGUGUUGAGUCUCUCGGCAUCUGCCCACCUGCAAUACACCAACCUCUGUUAAGCCAUCCUGGACCGGGUCGGCAGCAGCUGACGCUGAUUUAGAGCGAUGACGCUGGAGCCAGAAGACCGAGCGUUCGUGUUCGCCUACCGGCUGAGGGACGCAGCGACCCGGUGGCUCCGGCCCAAUGGACAGGAUCCAGGUGUGCUGGAAAGCAUCGUUUUGGAGCGGUUCCUGGACGCCAUCCCGGCUAGGACAUGAGCGUGGGUGAGAUACCACAGCCCCCCGAGCGUAAAAGCAGCGGUGAGGUUGGCGGAGGAACACCUAGCAGUGCAGAGGGAGGCAACCCCGAGGACGGCCGCAGGAUCCACCCCAGCACCCCGGCUUCAACUCGCCCCGCGAUGGGGGGGUAUGGAGCGGGCAAGAUCACCCGAGCAUAAAGACCAGGUUUUCCUGGUGGCCACACAAACACUUACACACACACACGCAGGCACGCACACACGCACACACACACCACUAACGUUGGGACACGGGUUAACAAUAAAUCUGAUGUGUGCAUGUUGCAGGUUCCCAGUGCUGCGGCGAGAGGGCUUCCCUCGCAGAGGGCACCUCAACUUCCAGGGCUGGUGUGCUGGGGGUGCAGACAACCCGGUCACGUGCGCAGGGAUUGCUCCAUGAUGGAGGUGGGGCGGGCAAUGCGGGUUGUCGAGCCGCCAGCACCCGCCCCCGAUCCAGGAGAGACAUACUACGUCCCGCAGCGUUGGAGAUCUUAAGGGGAAAGAUGAUGAAAGUGACGGAGAGAGAAAGACACAGACGGCGAGAUACAGUGAACAAACUGGAGAGCACUGGACUGAUGCAGUUGCAUGUACUGCCAUCAAUAAAAGUGUAAAUCAC